GGGACUCAGCUGAUUUCUAUCACCUGGAAACGGAGGCUGAGCUAUUUCAAUGCAGGCCAGCUGCUGGAAGAUUGUAUCUCACUCAUUAGGUUUGGCUUUUCUUUGCAGUACUGAGCCCUAGCUUUUUUUUUUUUUUUUUUUUUUUUUUUUUUUUUCUCUUCUUUAACAGGUUGUUUCUGUAUGUGUGUUCCUGUUGCUGGAUGAGGUAUGCAGCUGAUGUGUUGCUUUUGCUGUGCUCAGAAAUCCAAAGCUAUCCCCAAAAUGCAUGAAAGGAGAUGGUAUUGCUUCUGUUUUAAAUGUGCUUUUGAGGAACUUCAGGAGUUACCUGUAAACGUUCCUCAGGUUUCUCAAAGUUUAUCAGCUCACUAUGGAGAAGAAGGUUUAUGGUUUCUCCUGCUGUGGCAGACACUCUGGCUUUGUGUUUUCUGCACACCUUGCAUUUAUCCUGCUGGAGAUAAAGGGUUGUCAAAAGUUUGAGGAAUCCCAGUAUUUCUUACAAACUCAUCCCAUUUAAUCCUCAGGGUUUUGUUUUGUUUGCCUUGGGCCUUUGCUUCCCACAGCAUUGAGAUAUCUUCUUUAUACCUUUGGUGGUUUUCCAGCACUCACGUCUGUGUGGAAAGGUGGAAAGGAUGCCUGAGCUGAAGAGCCAGAGUUUGAUCUGUCAGUUGUAGGUUUUCAGUGAUCCAGGCUCCUGAAUAUCAGCAGCUCCCAUGCCAGUUUGUGACAUAAUUUCCUGCUGAAUUUCCACACUGAUCACGAGUCCGCUAAGGCAUAUAAAUAAGUUCACCUUUUGUAACCUUCUGCCCUCUAAAAGGCGAGCCUCGAACUGGAAGCUGCUGGGAAUCUCAUUCUCUUCUUAUUUUCAACACAAGCUAUUAACCUCGCGUUGGUUUUUGUAAUGUGGACAAUGGUUUUGUUUCUUCCUGCAGAGCAGUUGAACUGUUGCGUAUUUUCAUCAUCUGCUCCAGAGCUGUCUCUGCUUUCCCUUAAAGGAGUUAGUGGUGAUGCCACAUAGGAGGGGUGAUGGAAUUCAUCCUUAUCUCAUGUUAGUAUCUGCUUCAACCCAUAAAAAAGCAGUGGGACCCACGUAGGCUGCCCUCUGACCAACAAAAGAUGUGAUGAUGUUGAUUAUUUUCCUUGGACUACCCCAAUACUUCAGGGUGUCCCAAAGUGAAUCAUAAGGAAGUCUGUGAAAUUCCUUCUCAAAAUCUGCUCGGUGUGGGAUUUGCCAUUGGAUACUUAAUCUGAUAGUUAUCCUGAGGAUGAAAUAUCAGUUUGACACAUGAUCUUCCCAAGUCCAAGUGAUCCUUGCCAAAACAGAAAAUAAAAGCAUUGAAGCAGCAUUUUUGAACUGAGCU
RNAcentral lists this long non-coding RNA (1358 nucleotides) under Numida meleagris (helmeted guineafowl). Its description in RNAcentral is "lncRNA (ENSNMEG00000005633.1)". Lineage: Eukaryota; Metazoa; Chordata; Aves; Galliformes; Numididae. The record is from RNAcentral.